UCUCUCCAGGAAACAAUUCUUCACUUUCUAUUUCACCCUGAUCUCAUUCAUCUUGUACUCUGUUGUCUGGAGACAACAACAUUGACACUUCUUUGGCUUUUAUCCACAUUCAAGCUGCCACUGAAAAUAUGUUGGUAGGUGGAUCUACUGUUCUGAUGCUUCCAAAAUUAUCACUCCAGAUGCUGAUAAAUGUCGACAUUUUCAUAGAGCUGUAUUUGUGCAGCCAUUCUGCUCCAUAUGAAAACUUGUCUGAUACCAGUGGGAUGGAAUUAAAAUAAGAGUCUCUGAAAUUCAUGUAGAAUGGAGGGGGUUGGAGAGCCAGCAUGCCACAAUUCAUUUUUAAAGUUUGUUUGAAGAAACACCUACAAAAAGUGAAGCACCUCUUGUUUGUAAGAAACAGUUUACAAGAAAGUUGGCAUUAGGCCCUCUUAUGAUCAAUUUCAAGAAGGUACAAUGCUGUGUAUAGUUCAUGGGCCCUACUCAGACUUUGAAAAUCUGCUGUUUUUCUUCACUGAAAUAUGUUAAUCUACACCAAUGUAUCUCUCUUGAGCUGGCAUCAUGAAUGUAUCAAAAUGGAAGUAUGCAUUUCUGGCUGUGGUGGCGCACAACACUAUUUGUAUAUCACACUUAUUCCCUGCUGCAGUUGUAAAGGAUAAAGAGCGGCCCUCUUAAGAAGUUUCCCUGUUGUGUUGCUAGCAGGAGAUUUCCUGACUUUAUGAUAAUUGGAUCUGGCCAGAUGGUGAUGACUCCUGGUAUUGCACACAGAAGAGAUGCCUUUUAAUUUCUCUUGCUAGGUUUCCUCAUGUUAACAUGGAGAAAUUCUGUGUUAGGUGCACCCAAGCUGAAAGACAUCUUGCUGUGAGGCAUACAGAAAUGCCGGUUCCUUCAUAUCCUCAUGACGGUUGCAUCGCGUAAUUUUAAAGCAAUGUGAAGAAGGGCUGUGAUUUUUAUUCAAUUGUUUUUAAAAAGUGAAAGUACUUGCCCAUAUCAGAUGUGGAGAAUGACGUCUACUUAGCUAGAGAACAUAGACUUAAUAGGCAUAGGCAGCCGCUGUUGAAGUAUUGCGACAUCUCUCCACCCAUGACUGGCCGCAAUAUCAGAAAUCAGUUCUGAAAGAGGGACACCUUUAGUGUCAAUUUAGUUUUCAUUCCCUCUUACUCUUGGCACUCUCUAGGGAGACUGUUAACAAGUGUGGCCAGGCGGCCAAAAGGGUGAGUAGCCCUG
Molecule: non-coding RNA, 1224 nt
Organism: Pelodiscus sinensis (Chinese soft-shelled turtle)
Lineage: Eukaryota; Metazoa; Chordata; Testudines; Trionychidae
Source: RefSeq, a predicted model, not a curated record